Molecule: long non-coding RNA, 814 nt
Filed under: Malus domestica (apple)
Lineage: Eukaryota; Viridiplantae; Streptophyta; Magnoliopsida; Rosales; Rosaceae
Description: long non-coding RNA (MDOM_LNC007502)
Source: RNAcentral
AUGGUGCGGUGGACGCACAGGUGAGUAUCAGGUGAGUAUUAUUAUUGUUAUGAUGAUGUUGAUGUAUAUUGAGCUCAAAUCCUGCACCAUGGUUUAGUGCUUAUAGUAUUCACCGCAUCGCACGCUCGCCUUGGAUCCAAGUAGAUGCUGGUCGCACAGUCCACGCGGAGUGGGUGCGACGGGCCAGUCGUAGAGUGUUAGUGAGAUUUCGACUGGUGGGUGACCUUAGAUUAUGUGCACAGAUGAUUGAUGAGAAAGCACUAGAGCGUAACUUGUGUGCAGAAGGCCGUACAGGUCACAGAGGUGACUCCGGCAGAGUGAGAGUGAUAGAUUUUGAGCUCUAGGUUCAACCGUACAGGGCUAUUAGAGGGCCUCCGGUUGAUUACUUUCUUGCACCUGAUAUGAUUAUUGUUGAUGCAUCCAUACUUAACUGUUGAAUUAGGCAUGGCAUGGCAUGAUUGAUAAAGAAAAAAUGUUGAGUUAAUGAAUUGAAGUAGUAUUGAGAAUAUAUAUGUAUAUUUAUAUUUUAUAUUUCUGGGAAAGUAUACAGGUUUUACGGAGAGGGGUUACAACGUUUUGAGAAAUGUUUGGAUUUGGAAAAGAAUUGUUUUACUGACCCACUCAAUUUUGGUUUUGCGCCCCUCCAGGUUCAGGAAUCACAAAGGUGCGGUGACUACGAGGAAUUCGACGGUGUUCUGACAGAUUGGACAAAAUUAGGACUCACCUUCGGGUGUAUCAACUUAUAAAUUGUAUCUUAAAGCUUCCGUACUGUGCAAAUGGUUACGUCAUUCUCACGCGACGGCCAGCAUGCCCU